This 253-nucleotide ribosomal RNA is filed under the name uncultured bacterium. RNAcentral's name for it is "partial 16S ribosomal RNA". It matches the Rfam family "Bacterial small subunit ribosomal RNA", at positions 524 to 776 of the family's 1533-position model. The record is from RNAcentral.
UACGUAGGGUGCAAGCGUUAAUCGGAAUUACUGGGCGUAAAGCGUGCGCAGGCGGCUUUGCAAGACAGAUGUGAAAUCCCCGGGCUCAACCUGGGAACUGCAUUUGUGACUGCAUGGCUAGAGUACGGUAGAGGGGGAUGGAAUUCCGCGUGUAGCAGUGAAAUGCGUAGAUAUGCGGAGGAACGCCGAUGGCGAAGGCAAUCCCCUGGACCUGUACUGACGCUCAUGCACGAAAGCGUGGGGAGCAAACAGG